RNAcentral lists this ribosomal RNA (515 nucleotides) under uncultured bacterium. RNAcentral describes it as "partial 16S ribosomal RNA". It matches the Rfam family "Bacterial small subunit ribosomal RNA", at positions 28 to 523 of the family's 1533-position model. The record is from RNAcentral.
GAUGAACGCUGGCGGCGUGCCUAAUACAUGCAAGUCGAGCGAAUGGAUUAAGGGCUUGCUCUUAUGAAGUUAGCGGCGGACGGGUGAGUAACACGUGGGUAACCUGCCCAUAAGACUGGGAUAACUCCGGGAAACCGGGGCUACUACCGGAUAACAUUUUGAACCGCAUGGUUCGAAAUUGAAAGGCGGCUUCGGCUGUCACUUAGGGAUGGACCCGCGUCGCAUUAGCUAGUUGGUGAGGUAACGGCUCACCAAGGCAACGAUGCGUAGCCGACCUGAGAGGGUGAUCGGCCACACUGGGACUGAGACACGGCCCAGACUCCUACGGGAGGCAGCAGUAGGGAAUCUUCCGCAAUGGACGAAAGUCUGACGGAGCAACGCCGCGUGAGUGAUGAAGGCUUUCGGGUCGUAAAACUCUGUUGCUAGGGAAGAACAAGUGCUAGUUGAAUAAGCUGGCACCUUGACGGUACCUAACCAGAAAGCCACGGCUAACUACGUGCCAGCAGCCGCGGUAA